AUGAAAACAAGGCUGAAGAGAGCGGCAUGUUUAGAGCAGGAGGUUUUUGUACAGCCAGUAAACCAGUUUGUAUCACUGUGGUGGACUUUUGGUGGAGGAACCAAACUGUCAGUUGGAAGUGUGGCCGCGCCCACCCUCACGGUCCUGCCCCCCUCCAGCGUGGAGCUGCAGCAGGGGAAGGCCACACUCGUGUGUUUGGCCAACAAGGGCUUCCCCUCAGACUGGAGGCUGAGCUGGAAGGUGGACGGGAGCAGCUGGAGCUCGGGGGUUAGCCAGAGCCCCGGGCUUCUGCAGAAGAACGAUGGCCUCUACAGCUGGAGCAGCACCCUGACCCUCCAGGAGGACCAGUGGCUAAAGAAGACAGUGACCUGUGAGGCCACCAAGGACUCCCAGACUCCUGUCAGCCAAACCCUGAGGAGAGAGCAAUGCACUGGGCAGUGAGCGUCCACGCGUGUGUUGGAGCUGCUAGAGCUCCUCUUGAUUUUCAGUAUUAAUAUCUACAGUCUUUCAUUGUUUGUGUUAUUUUCCUUUAAAAGCAGCAACAAUAAACAUGUAAACAUUUCUUUGAUCUGUAA
This is a non-coding RNA of Pygocentrus nattereri (red-bellied piranha), 575 nucleotides long. Lineage: Eukaryota; Metazoa; Chordata; Actinopteri; Characiformes; Serrasalmidae. The record is from the annotation of a RefSeq genome assembly.